CAAGGAAUAGUUUAAUUAAAAAUAUUAAUUUUGGAGAUUAAUGACAGGGGUAAACUCUUUCCUUGA
This 66-nucleotide transfer RNA is filed under the name Cryptocephalus lusitanicus. RNAcentral's name for it is "tRNA-Pro". It matches the Rfam family "tRNA". Rfam says of the family: Transfer RNA (tRNA) molecules are approximately 80 nucleotides in length. Their secondary structure includes four short double-helical elements and three loops (D, anti-codon, and T loops). Lineage: Eukaryota; Metazoa; Arthropoda; Insecta; Coleoptera; Chrysomelidae. The record is from RNAcentral.